Molecule: ribosomal RNA, 240 nt
Filed under: Triticum aestivum (bread wheat)
Lineage: Eukaryota; Viridiplantae; Streptophyta; Magnoliopsida; Poales; Poaceae
Description: partial small subunit ribosomal RNA
Source: RNAcentral
AUGGGGGUUGCGAUUCGGAGUCCGAGAAACCUUUUGAUUCUUCCCUACCGACGUUAUGAAGCUGACCAAGAAAAAACCCUGGGCAAGAGUACUGUUGCUUUAGCUUUUAGCAGCCAUGGUGGUAACUUUUGCACUGUUUUCGCUGGAUCGUACAAGCUUGUAUGGGACAACUCAUAUUCAACAUUCUUCAAAAAGCAAGCAUCUCAGUUCAUCUCCAAGACUGCUAGAAUUUCUGCCUAA